Molecule: RNA transcript, 3089 nt
Organism: Thunnus maccoyii (southern bluefin tuna)
Lineage: Eukaryota; Metazoa; Chordata; Actinopteri; Scombriformes; Scombridae
Gene: iffo1a
Gene name: intermediate filament family orphan 1a
Exons: 11
Source: RefSeq, a predicted model, not a curated record
UUUGCUGCACCGCUGCUCGACACUCCGCUCAGGCUGAUUUCACCUCACUAUCUGAUACCAAGCUUACUGUUUUCUCUUCGUGCUUCCAGCCCACAGCUCAUCUGCGUAAAGGUUACCGUCGGGUGAAAUCAAGAGAGAGAGACGCAAAGAAAAGGCUGCGGGGCAGUAAUCAUCCUCACACGGAAUUACCUGACGAGUUGAAUAUAUAGAAGUCUGAGUUCAUGCCGGAUUUCGAGCACUUCAGAUUUUCCUAUUCUAGCAUGAAUCCGGUUCUGGGGGAGAGCGGCUUCCUGGCCCCACAGCAGCAGCACCACCACCAGAUGACGGGCCAGACCGAUUCCGCCAUCCCGGAGCCCGGCUACUUCCUGGGGGACCACGCUGGGUUCGGGCCUGAUGGGUUGUCCGGGCUGGACCUGGGCGCCUUGCCACCGUCGGGCCUCGCCUACCUGCACCUGAGCAGCCCCCUGCACCGCGUCCCCCCUGCGGCCACGGCGCUGCGCAACGACCUGGGAUCCAACAUCAGCGUGCUGAAGACUCUGAACCUGCGCUUCCGCUGCUUUUUGGCCAAAGUGCACGAGCUGGAGCGCAGAAACAAGGUGUUAGAGAAGCAGCUGCAGCAGGCUCUGGAGGAUAAUAAAGGAGGGGAAGGACACCCGAGGCCCCUGACUAAAGAGAUGGGGGUGCAGACUGGAUUUAUCGGGCCUAUCCCAGGCAGGCCGGGCCUCAUCCCGCUCCAAAACGCCAACAACCCGGCCUACCUGCCCGGCGGCCUCCUCUCUCCCACCCUGAACCCCCUUCCUCUCUUUGACAACAAACACCUGCUGGGGAGCAACCUGACCCCCUUUACGGAUUCAAACUCCAACCUCACCACUUGCGGUUUCUCCAUCAGCCCGGCGCUGAGUCCCUCCGACCCCUUCAAACCCAUCACCAACAUCAACGAGAAAUACGCAGAUCACACCGGGACAAACACCGACAACACCCUUCCUCCUACUCCCCAUCCUCCUCCUCCUCCUCCUCCUCCUCCUCCUCCACGAUUCCUCCCCGGGACUAUCUGGUCCUUCAACCACACCCGCAGGUUUGGCACCGGGAGGGAGUCGUGCGUCACGGGCCCCGGAGUCUCCUGGACGCACCCGGACGGUGUCGGGGUGCAGAUCGACACCAUCACACCGGAGAUCAGGGCUCUGUACAACGUGCUGGCCAAGGUGAAGAGAGAAAGAGACGAGUACAAGAGAAGAUGGGAGGAAGAGUACACAGCCAGAAUAGAUCUGCAGGACAAGGUGGUUGAACUGGAGGAGGAUCUGCAGGAGAGCGAGGUGUGUCAGGAUGAACUCGCUCUCAGGGUGAAGCAGCUGAAAGCUGAGCUUGUUCUCUUCAAAGGACUCGUCAGCAACAACCUGUCAGAUCUGGACAGUAAGAUCCAGGAAAAGGCCAUGAAGGUUGACAUGGAUAUCUGUCGCCGCAUCGACAUCACCGCCCGCCUCUGUGAUGUCGCCCAGCAGAGAAACUGUGAGGACAUGAUUAACAUCUACCAGCAGGUGGCCACGCCCCCCUCCACCUUGAACCGCCGGGCCAGGAAACACAGCGGCCAGUCAGCGAAGAAUGGGAACGGGGACGGAGACGAACUGAGCAUGUCUGAGAGCGAGGGAGGCGGGGCUAAAGACGAGGAGUCGUGCAGCUCGUCGGCCAAUCAGAUCAACGAGCAGAUGCAGAGGAUGCUGAAUCAGCUUAGGGAGUGUGAGUUUGAGGAUGACUGUGACAGCUUGGCCUGGGAGGAAACGGAGGAAACUCUUCUUCUGUGGGAGGAUUUUCCUGGAUACUCACUGGGAGUGGAAACACAGGGAGAGCUGCAGCAGCAGGAGGAAUCCAUCGAGAAGGUGAUUAAUGACACGGAGUCUCUGUUCAAAUCCAGAGAGAAAGAAUACCAGGACACCAUCGGCCAGAUAGAGUUGGAAUUGGCUACAGCCAAGAGUGACAUGAACCGUCACCUGCACGAGUACAUGGAGAUGUGCUCAAUGAAGAGAGGCCUGGACGUCCAGAUGGAGACCUGCAGGAGACUCAUCACACAGAGCGGAGAAAGGAAGUCCCCGUCUCUCAUCACACUGAACGACUCCGACAGCGAGGAGAAGGAGAGGAAGAAGCCGUCUCUCGCCACCGACUCUGACAGCGAUUCUUACUUCGAAGCCAACGCCGCCAUCCCUCCUCUGACCUGGAGGAAGCCCUAACACACACUGUUACACACACACACACACACACACACACACAUCCUGCUGGUCGUCAUGCCAACGCUCUUGUUAUCCUCUAGUGCUGUCUUCAUUAUUCUGAAAUCAGAGCCAGCAGAUGUCAUGAGUCUUUUCUUGAUCUUUAAGCUUCUCUGAGAGCAACCAGUCUGAUGUUGUUUGAUCAUUUUCACCGACUCAGUCAACAUGACAGCAGGUACAGGAACUAUAAGAUGACAAGUCCUCCAUCUAUCUACGCCCAAACUGCCUUAAAGAUAUCCAGUACUUGAGAAAAAUGACACCUUCUGAUUUAAAAAAAAAAGAACAGUUUUCCUGCAUCUGAAACGCCAAAGCUACCACUAAGGACGCUGAAGUCAUGUCCUCGGUAUUGUUUAUGGGAAUAUUUUAAUCAGUUUUGAGGUGUUUUUUUUGUUGUACAAUUACAAAUUACACAUGUUGGAUUUUUAAAAGGCUGAUUCUGAUAUUCUUUAGGGUCAAUAUCUUUAAAUGUGACUGUCUUUAUUGUUAAAAAUUAAGUGAAAUUACACUAAAAAGUUAAAUUUAGUUAAAUUCCGAGAAAUGUGGACUAAAUAUAAUGUGAACAUUUUUAAUUACCGACUUUUAGGGGUCUAACAGGAUUGUUCAGUGACCCUGACCACAUUCUUAAUAAUAAUCUUAUAUUGUAGUUAACGCAGACUCAACCCUGACACCAUCUGUAAACACUGUUACAUCAUUUGCAUGGAGAAAAGUUACCAAAGGUGCAAGAAUUUAUACAUUUGUUAUUUUAAACAGUUUUCACAGAGUCAGAAUCAAAAGCAAAGCCUGAGAAGUUUUUACUGUUUUUUUUUUUCUUUAAUUUUCUUUUUCUAUUAA